This 863-nucleotide ribosomal RNA is filed under the name uncultured Neocallimastigales. RNAcentral describes it as "partial large subunit ribosomal RNA". It matches the Rfam family "Eukaryotic large subunit ribosomal RNA", at positions 1 to 643 of the family's 3401-position model. The record is from RNAcentral. Lineage: Eukaryota; Fungi; Neocallimastigomycota; Neocallimastigomycetes; Neocallimastigales.
UGCAUCUGUGCAUGCAGCAUAUCAAUAAGCGGAGGAAAAGAAGUAUACCUACGCUUAGGAUGUUGACACACACGCGCGUGCUCGACUCUAUACAUGACUCUGUGCAUAUCAAUAAGCGGAGGAAAAGAAACUAACAAGGAUUCCCUUAGUAACGGCGAGUGAAGCGGGAAGAGCUCAAAUUUGAAAUCUUCAAGGUUUUACCUUGACGAAUUGUAGUUUAAAGAAGUGUUUUCUGUUGAAGUUUUGGUAAAAGUUCUUUGGAAUAGGACAUCAUAGAGGGUGAGAAUCCCGUAUUUGACCAUUAUUUUCAGCUGUGUGAUACACUUUCAAAGAGUCGGAUUGUUUGAGAAUGCAGUCCAAAAUGGGUGGUAAAUUUCAUCUAAAGCUAAAUAUUGGCGAGAGACCGAUAGCGAACAAGUACCGUGAGGGAAAGAUGAAAAGAACUUUGAAAGAGAGAGUUAAACAGUACGUGAAAUUGUCAAAAGGGAAGCGUUUGACACCAGUGUUGUUUUCUCGAAAAUCAAUUAAAAAGAGUUUAGAUUUUGUUGUGUAUUGACCUUAACAGCUUGCAUUUCAAUUUUCUUGCUUUUUUUAAUGCACUUUUCGUUUAACAAGUCAACAUCAGUUUCUUUUGUUGUAAAAAGGUCAUUGGAAGGUGGCUUUCUUUUCGGAGAAAGUGUUUAUAGCCUUUGACUCCUGCAAUCGGAGAGACUGAGGUCUGCAGCGUAGAUCCUUCGGGGUUAGAUACAUUUGUGCUAAGUUAUAGCUUUUUAUAGACAACUUGUUGACUAUGAUUAGUCUUGUAGCUUACUCGCUUAUGCUAUUUUACCUACGCUUAGGAUGUUGACACACGCGCGUGCUCG